AUUCCUACGGGAGGCAGCAGUAGGGAAUCUUCCGCAAUGGACGAAAGUCUGACGGAGCAACGCCGCGUGAGUGAUGAAGGUUUUCGGAUCGUAAAACUCUGUUAUCAGGGAAGAACAAGUAUCGGAGUAACUGCCGGUACCUUGACGGUACCUGACCAGAAAGCCACGGCUAACUACGUGCCAGCAGCCGCGGUAAUAAU
Molecule: ribosomal RNA, 200 nt
Filed under: uncultured bacterium
Lineage: Bacteria
Description: partial 16S ribosomal RNA
Rfam family: Bacterial small subunit ribosomal RNA
Source: RNAcentral